GUAUUUUGAAUUAAGUAUUCAUAAUAUUUUUCAGACAAACUGGUUAAAGAUAUGUUGUUAUAUAAUCUCAGAGCAAAGAGAUCUCGAAAGACCUCUUCAGAAUGAGAUAACAUUGCACACAAGGUGGAUAUGGAUUUUAAAAAGUGCCAUAAAACACUUAUUAUGAAUGAUCCUUCCGCAGGUUCACCUACGGAAA
Molecule: unclassified non-coding RNA, 196 nt
Filed under: uncultured fungus
Lineage: Eukaryota; Fungi
Description: sequence contains ITS1
Source: RNAcentral